CAAUAGGGAAUCUUCCACAAUGGGCGAAAGCCUGAUGGAGCAACGCCGCGUGUGUGAUGAAGGGUUUCGGCUCGUAAACACUGUUGUAAGAGAAGAAUGACAUUGAGAGUAACUGUUCAAUGUGUGACGGUAUCUUACCAGAAAGGAACGGCUAAAUACGUACCAG
This 166-nucleotide ribosomal RNA is filed under the name uncultured bacterium. RNAcentral describes it as "partial 16S rRNA". It matches the Rfam family "Bacterial small subunit ribosomal RNA", at positions 352 to 511 of the family's 1533-position model. The record is from RNAcentral.